Long non-coding RNA from Myotis davidii, 105 nucleotides. RefSeq lists it as uncharacterized. NCBI's taxonomy places the organism in Eukaryota, Metazoa, Chordata, Mammalia, Chiroptera, Vespertilionidae. The transcript has 3 exons. The record is from RefSeq and is a predicted model, not a curated record.
UAAGCCUGUCAUGUAACCAUUAAAAUCCUAGAAUAAACCAUAGGCAGCAAGAUCUCAGACAUCGUUCAUAGCAAUAUGUUUACAGAUACAUCUCCUACGGCAAAG